ACUGUGGGACCCCCUCCCCCUCCAGUGCGAGGCCAGCACUGUGGGACCCCCUCCUCCUUCAGUGUGAGGCCAGCACUGUGGGACCCCCUCCUCCUCCAGUACGAGGCCAGCACUGUGGGACCCCUGCCCCCUCCAGUGUGAGGGACUAACACAACCAUGUGGGACACUCAGGAGACCCCAUGUUCUGGACCACGACCCUUAUUCUUCAUCCUUAUCCUCCCAUGGCUGACAUGACAGACUGCUCACUGAGUGGCACCGACUGCCCUAUGUGACACGAAAUGGUGCUGGCGGUGACACAUCUACCAUGCAGACGGAGCACUCCUCUGUUGAUGACAUGUCCCUCGGUUCCAAGAGUUCCCUAAGUGGCUGUGAAUGUUCAGUCCUAAGAGCUCCCUUGUCUAUUUGUUACAGAGAACAACAGCCAAAAUCUUAAUUUACAAGUUCUCAGCAA
Long non-coding RNA from Mastomys coucha (southern multimammate mouse), 451 nucleotides. RefSeq lists it as uncharacterized. The transcript is spliced from 2 exons. Lineage: Eukaryota; Metazoa; Chordata; Mammalia; Rodentia; Muridae. The record is from RefSeq and is a predicted model, not a curated record.